CAGCCGCCGCGGUAAAACCAGCACCUCAGGUGGUCAGGAUGAUUAUUGGGCCUAAAGCAUCCGUAGCCGGCUCUGUAAGUUUUCGGUUAAAUCUGUACGCUCAACGUACAGGCUGCCGGGAAUACUGCAGAGCUAGGGAGUGGGAGAGGUGGACGGUACUCGGUAGGAAGGGGUAAAAUCCUUCGAUCUAUUGAUGACCACCAGUGGCGAAGGCUGCUGACUAGAACACGCCUGACGGUGAGGGACGAAAGCUGGGGUAGCGAAUCGGAUUAGAUACCCGGGUAGUCCCAGCCGUAAACGAUGCAGGCUAGGUGUUGGGUCGGCCACGCGCCGCCUCAGUGCCACAGGGAAGCCAUUAAGCCUGCCGCCUGGGGAGUACGGCCGCAAGGCUGAAACUUAAAGGAAUUGGCGGGGGAGCAC
Molecule: ribosomal RNA, 420 nt
Filed under: uncultured Nitrososphaerota archaeon
Lineage: Archaea; Thermoproteati; Nitrososphaerota
Description: bacterial SSU rRNA
Rfam family: Archaeal small subunit ribosomal RNA
Source: RNAcentral